GCUCUUCCCAUCUGUUGUUAAACAACAUGCUAAAUGUGAAAUGUCAAUCCUCACUCUAAACUUUCCCUGUUCAGAGCAUCAAAUGAAGAAUUCAUUGGGUUUUAUAGCGGCUUUCUGAUUUUGGUAGUCCAUUGAAGAAGGGAGUUUGAAAGUUGUUGUAUACUGAUAACGAUUGUCUGCCCAUGUCCUGCCUGAAAUAGCAUGAUUGUUUAUGAAGGGUAUCUUUAAUAAAGCUGGAUACAGUUUGGCUUGGGAAAAAAAAAAAAAGCUAAAGGUUAAAAGCAACAUUUA
Long non-coding RNA from Herpailurus yagouaroundi (jaguarundi), 291 nucleotides. RefSeq lists it as uncharacterized. The record is from RefSeq and is a predicted model, not a curated record. Lineage: Eukaryota; Metazoa; Chordata; Mammalia; Carnivora; Felidae. The transcript is spliced from 3 exons.